AAUUGGGUCAAUGGGAGCAAGCCUGGACUCUCCAAUCCAAAUGUAGGGGAAUACCCUAUGGGUUGUAAUCUAUUUUUAUACAAGAAGAAACUACAUCUGUGUAUGGAGCUGAUCGUAUCGUAAGAAAAAACUCUAGUAACUCCCCGCCAGCAGCCGCGGUAAGACGAAUGGUGCAACCGUCAUCUCGAUUUAAAAGGUAUAAAGAGGGGGUAGGGUGAUGAAUAUCUCAGAUGAGAAAUCUUACAUCUUAACUGUAGAACCGCCAUUGAAACUGGUCAUUUUGAAUUUAGUAAGCUAGCCGGAAUGUGUAGUUUAGCGGUGAAAUGAUUAGAUAUUAACCAAAACACCGCUUGGGAGGCCAGCCUACAAGAUAAAAUGACACUGAGGCACGAAAGCGGGGGGAGCGACCAGGAUUUGUACCCUCUAGCCACCCCCUA
Molecule: ribosomal RNA, 437 nt
Filed under: uncultured marine bacterium
Lineage: Bacteria
Description: bacterial SSU rRNA
Rfam family: Bacterial small subunit ribosomal RNA
Source: RNAcentral